Molecule: ribosomal RNA, 349 nt
Filed under: uncultured Glomus
Lineage: Eukaryota; Fungi; Glomeromycota; Glomeromycetes; Glomerales; Glomeraceae
Description: SSU rRNA
Rfam family: Eukaryotic small subunit ribosomal RNA
Source: RNAcentral
AGCAGCCGCGGUAAUUCCAGCUCCAAUAGCGUAUAUUAAAGUUGUUGCAGUUAAAAAGCUCGUAGUUGAAUUUCGGGAUCAGUACGCUGGUCGUGCCUUCGGUAUGAACUGGUGUCACUGGUUCCUCCCUUCUGAAGAACCGUCAUGCCAUUCAGUUGGUGUGGCGGGGAAUCAGGACUGUUACUUUGAAAAAUUAGAGUGUUUAAAGCAGGCUUGCGCUUGAAUACAUUAGCAUGGAAUAAUGAAAUAGGACGUUUGACCCUAUUUGUUGGUUUCUAGGAUCGACGUAAUGAUUAAUAGGGAUAGUUGGGGGCAUUAGUAUUCAAUUGUCAGAGGUGAAAUUCUUGGA